Molecule: ribosomal RNA, 256 nt
Filed under: uncultured bacterium
Lineage: Bacteria
Description: partial 16S ribosomal RNA
Rfam family: Bacterial small subunit ribosomal RNA
Source: RNAcentral
AACGGAGGGGGCAAGCGUUAUUCACCUUGACUGGGCGUAAAGGGUGUGUAGACGGUUUUUCUAUUUAUAAUUAAGUAAUCCAAGCUUAACUUUUGAAGUUAUUUAUAAAAAAUUAAAACUUCGAGGUUUUUAGAAGUAAGUUACAUUUUUAAAGUAGAGGUAAAAUUCUCAUAUAGUAAAAAGAUAACCUUAGAGCAAAAGCUACUUACUAUUUUAAGCCUGACGUUGAGACACGAAAGCAUGGGGAUCGAACAGG